GUCCCCUUCAAGACCCAGUAAAUGGGAGGCACUAGCUUCCUUGGAUUCAAUAACCCUCUGAAGUGAAGCCUCAAUUGAAUCAAGUCGGGCAUUAACCUGGGUGGACAUUGUGGUUAGGUCAUGAAUUUGGGCAUUGUUGGCUUGGACUUGGGCAUUGGUGUUUUGAACUUGAGCAUUAGUGUCUUGGAUAGCUUUUAAUAGA
This 202-nucleotide long non-coding RNA is filed under the name Phoenix dactylifera (date palm). RNAcentral's name for it is "long non-coding RNA (PDAC_LNC004062)". Lineage: Eukaryota; Viridiplantae; Streptophyta; Magnoliopsida; Arecales; Arecaceae. The record is from RNAcentral.